GAUGAAGAACGCAGCAAAAUGCGAUAAGUAAUGUGAAUUGCAGAAUUCAGUGAAUCAUCGAAUCUUUGAACGCACAUUGCGCCCGCCAGUAUUCUGGCGGGCAUGCCUGUUCGAGCGUCAUUUCAACCCUCAAGCCCUCGGGUUUGGUGUUGGGGAUCGGCGAGCCUUUCUGGCAAGCCGGCCCCGAAAUCUAGUGGCGGUCUCGCUGCAGCCUCCAUUGCGUAGUAGUAAAACCCUCGCAACUGGAACGCGGCGCGGCCAAGCCGUUAAACCCCCAACUUCUGAAUGUUGACCUCGGAUCAGGUAGGAAUACCCGCUGAACUUAAGCAUAUCAAAACGGAGGA
Molecule: unclassified non-coding RNA, 344 nt
Filed under: soil metagenome
Description: partial contains 5.8S ribosomal RNA, internal transcribed spacer 2, and large subunit ribosomal RNA
Rfam family: 5.8S ribosomal RNA (bases 1-120)
Source: RNAcentral